This 4361-nucleotide long non-coding RNA is filed under the name Sus scrofa (pig). Its description in RNAcentral is "lncRNA (ENSSSCG00035032816.1)". The record is from RNAcentral. Lineage: Eukaryota; Metazoa; Chordata; Mammalia; Artiodactyla; Suidae.
GGGGAAGAGGCAAGAGAGCGUGUUUUAGCUUUACCGUCUCAGUCGCAGGGGAAGGCAAGGGGGAACUGGAUUAUGGAUGGUUUGGGGGCAGCCCAGUCCGAACUCGCCAAGGAGAAGGACAGUGAGACGUGUGGACAGUGAGCUCAGUCUUCACCUUCUUGGAGUUGAGCAAGUACGCGUUCAAAGUCAACCUUCCGCCCUUCUGUAAGUUGCUGCCUUGUUAUAAACUUGCAGCAUUGGAAAAAGAAUUUAGGGAUCAUUUGGAUUGGUCCAUAUUUAAAGAGAUGAAGAAGCUAAAGCUGAAAUACAGGGGCUUUGUCAAGCCUCCGCCGGAUGAGAACCUUUCACGCAGACCCUACCAGUCCCAUGGUCCUCCUUUGGAGUGAGCGCCAGAAUCGCCUGCUGGGCUUGUCAGGGUACCUCUUGCCGGGCCUCACCCCAAGGUCAGCACCCAGUAGAUUUGAGGUGGAGUCUGAGCAUUUGCAUCUUUAUGAUGUUCCCAGAUCACCUUUUUUUUUUUCUUUUUGGUCUUUUUAGGGCCACAGGCACGGCAUAUGGAGGUUCCCAGGCUAGGGGUCCAACCAGAGCUGCAGCUGCUGGCCCACACCACGGCCAGAGCGAUGCGGGAUCUGAGCCGCGUCUGUGACCUACACCACAGCUCAUGGCAACACUGGAUCCUUAACCCCCUGAGCAAGGCCAGGGAUCAAACCCGCACCCUCAUGGGUACUAGUUUGGUUCAUUACCGCUGAGUCACAAUGGGAACUCCCCAGGUGAUGUCGAUGCUGCUGGUCUGAGAAACCCCCCUGGCCUUUGAGAAGCACUCUGCCAACCAGCUGCAAGCUGGCAAUUUACAACCCGACAUCCCAUGGCAGACUUUCCUAAAUUAUGCUCUUUUCAUGGGUGCUUCUUUGCGCGUGUUCUUUAGCAACUAAAUAGCAUAGUGGCAGACAAUGAAAGUGACUAUCGGGCCUGCUAACGUCAGGGCUGGACUUGUAUGUUGUCACCUUGUUUGGGAGACUGUCCCUUUCUCCUGGGACCUGGCCAUGCCUCCUAAGGGUCUAACAGAGGCUCAUCCUCACUAACCUUGCCUUUUCCCCUAAGAUGACCCCUAACACACAUCAUCAACCUUUCUGUUCUGUGUCUCUUUUUCUUCUCACCCUGUAAAUCAGUAUCUGCAAACUGAAGGUGGCAAAUUUGUAUAAGUUGUAUCAUACUGUAUGUAUCGUUCUGUAACUUAACAUUUUUUGUUCAACAGUAUAUCCUGGUGAUACAUCUCAAUCUUGUUGAAUUUAACUGCUUCCUAGUGUUCUGUUUUCAAAUACUAUAAUGCAUUGAUCCUCUCCCCAUGUUUCAGGUUAUUUUAUUUUAUUUUAUUUUAUUUCAUUUUAUUUUAUUUUAUUUUAUUUUAUUUUACUUAUUUAUUAUUUUUUUGCCUUUUCUAGGCCUGGGAACCUCCAUAUGCCGCGGGAGCAGCCCAAGUAAUGGCAAAAAAAGACCAAAAAAAAAAGUCAGCUCUUACUUCUCAUGACUCCAAAUAAAAGCCCUUCUUCAAUGACCAAGGCCUGAGAGUGAGCACCCAUUGCCUGGGUUCUGUGCUACGGUCCCAGGAGAGAAUUUACACGUGCUGGACCCCUACCCCCUGUGCUGGCUAGCAAUGUGGCCACAUCAGAGGAUUCUUUGAAGAACUAUCCAAAUUAGUGGCUUAAAGAGUUAUCAGACUACAGGAUGCAAGAGCUCAGCAAGGUUCAGUUCUUGGAGGCAACUGUUUUCGUAGAAGGUCCGUGUUUGGGACACUUUUUGUUUUAAAUUUAAAUUUUGUUUUAAAUGUAUACAUGUAUAUAUAUAUUUAUUUUUAUAGCUUAUUUUCUUUUAAAAAUAUUUAAAAAUAUAAUUUGUUUACUUCCAUCCUCCACGAUAAAAUAAAUGAUUUAUGUUCACUGUAAAAAUUCGAGAAAUUUUUCAGAAAAUAGCACCUCAAAAUAAUUAUUCUUCCCACUUCCCAAAGACAAUUAUUGUUGAUAUUUUGCCAUCUCCUACUGCAUAUUUAUGCAUUUUUCCUCAGAACAUAUUAUGUGUCCUUUUUAAUAUUUUUAUACAACACCAUCAUAGGCAUUCUACCUCUUUUUUUAAAUGAUGAUUAAAUUGAUAUGUAAUAAUUUCCAAUGUAAAUAAUCUUUAUUUCACUUAAUCCUUCUGUGAUAUAUUUGCUUAAUUUUUCAUGCUGAAAAAAUAUUUUUUUUGGCAGCACCCCCAGCAUAUGGAAACUCCCGGGCCAGGGAUCAAACUCACACCACAGCAGUGAUCCAAGCCACUGCAGUGACACCGCCAGAGCCUGAACCUGUUGCACCCCAAGGGAACUCUGAGAAAAAAUUUUUAAAGUAGAGCUCUCCUCCCUUUAUAUAUUAGAUUAUUUCUAUAAAAUAGAAUCUUAGAAGUGGGGUUAUUAUUAUAAACAUUUUAAGGUUUUUGAUACAUUGUGGGGUGAGGGACCCGAUCUUAUGAAAGCUCUGUAGAAGUCAAGUCAUGACGCUAAAUGUCCUCGCUUUGUCCUAUGUCACUGCCUGCUCUCUGGACUUAAACUUCUGACUUAGCCAGAACACUCACGUUCUGAUGCAUUCAUUCAUUCAUUGCUCAUUUAUUCCUUCACUCACUCACUCACUCACUCACUCACUCACUCAUUCACAUAAGUCUCGUUAGAUGUCAGGCACUCUACUAGAUGCUGAGGAUAAGAUGCUAAGCAAAACUAGAAUUCCUACUCUGGCUCAGGAAGAUUUGGUUGAGAAAAGGGUUCGAUCAGAGGCUGAAUGGUUUAACGCUGACUGUCUACUUCUGGUUUUGUUUUUCUACCUGAAAUCUGCUGAUUCUAGAGAGAGAUGGCCAUACCCUAUGCAAUUUGAGAGACAUUUCAUUUGAGCCCUGGAGACAAAACUAAACCAUUUGCUCUGUACAUGGGCAGGGCUGCUCAUGGGUCUUACCUCCUUUUAAAAAUUAAAAUGCACUUGCCUUUCUGCUAGCAGUGGAAAGUGCAGGCUGGGGUCGGGAUUUUCCGCUGAUUUUAAGGACUGUGCCUGGUUUUAAUGUUCUUUGCAUUGGGAAGCAAAGUCCCUGAUUUUAUGACUCUACCCUUCAGAUCCUUCUCAUGGGUCAUCUUAACCUCUUUUUUUUGUUUGUUUGUUUGGUUUGGUUUUGCUUUUUAGAGCCACAUCCACGGCAUAUGGAGGUUCCCAGGCUAGGGGUCCAAUCGGAGCUGUAGCCACUGGCCUACUCCACAGCCAUAGCAACGCCAGAUCCGAGCUGCAUCUGUGACCUGCACCACAGCUCAUGGGAACUCGGGAUCCUUAACCCACUGAGCAAGGCCAGGGAUCGAACCUGUGUCUUCAUGGAUACUAGUCAGGUUCGUUAACUGCUGAACCACGACGGCAACUCCCCAAGAUUUUUUUUUUUUUUCCUGGUCAUCUUAACUUCAUACAGAGCAUUUGCAUUUGCCUUUUGCCUUCUUUGUGAUGGUGACUGGAAGUGAGAGCCACCAUCUGAAAAUGGCUUCUCCAUAGGCUUGGAGGAUAGACGUGUGCCUCUUAGCAGCCUGUGACUGAGGUCAGUGAGAGGAACUCUCCGACCAGCCCUGAUGAAGAAGCCAUGGUCGGUUGUCUGGGGAAAGUUUUGUCUGAAUCACUUGAAUCAGUGAAGUCAGAGCAGACUUUUCAUUGUGAUUAUGUGGGUCAUGCAGUCCUGAUGCCUCCCGGUGGACCUCAGUAAAGGGUGACUAAUGGAUCACAGGGUCGCCUGGUUAAGUGGAGGAGAAAAAUCUGGGCAGCCAGGGGCAAGGCUUGAGGCAGUCCCCGUCUGUGGCCACCCUCCGGCCAAGGCUGUCUGCUGUCACCCAAAGACACUGACUCAUCAGAGCCUCAUUAGAGGAAACUUCAGACACUCCUGGGCAGGUUCACGCACCCCCAGCUUUGCCCCUUGCCCCUGGCGCCUUGGGUGGUUGAUACCUCGGGGUCAAGAGGGCAGAGCCUGUGGCCGUGAGCAGAGCUGCUGUGGGAGAGCUCGCGGAAGGCAGCACUCCGUGUGAACCACGCUGUCAUUUGUGAGAGGGUCAGCCCAGCGCAGGCUCUGCUCUUCGUGAUGUCACCACUGAAGUCCCCUGGCUCUGAAUCCCAGUUGUUUCUUAUGUUAACUCUUUCGGUGUUGCUGUUAGUUGGUAAUAAGAGAAGAGGUUCUGAAGAUUACUCUGUAUUUUACCUUCAGUAACGUCCUGGCGUUCCCUGGUGAGGUUUGCAUCUUUCUUUCUCUCCCCCCGGAGCCCCACCUACCGGCUUCCUCUUCUAGUCCCCAUCCCCGACUCUCCUGCCUCUCUCUUU